GACCUCGUGGCGUAACGGUAGCGCGUCUGACUCCAGAUCAGAAGGCUACGUGUUGAAAUCACGUCGAGGUCA
Molecule: transfer RNA, 72 nt
Filed under: Callorhinchus milii (elephant shark)
Lineage: Eukaryota; Metazoa; Chordata; Chondrichthyes; Chimaeriformes; Callorhinchidae
Description: tRNA-Trp (CCA) (tRNA-Trp-CCA-15-1)
Rfam family: tRNA
About the family: Transfer RNA (tRNA) molecules are approximately 80 nucleotides in length. Their secondary structure includes four short double-helical elements and three loops (D, anti-codon, and T loops). Further hydrogen bonds mediate the characteristic L-shaped molecular structure. tRNAs have two regions of fundamental functional importance: the anti-codon, which is responsible for specific mRNA codon recognition, and the 3' end, to which the tRNAs corresponding amino acid is attached (by aminoacyl-tRNA synthetases). tRNAs cope with the degeneracy of the genetic code in two manners: having more than one tRNA (with a specific anti-codon) for a particular amino acid; and 'wobble' base-pairing, i.e. permitting non-standard base-pairing at the 3rd anti-codon position.
Source: Rfam by way of RNAcentral